Molecule: unclassified non-coding RNA, 333 nt
Filed under: soil metagenome
Description: partial contains 5.8S ribosomal RNA, internal transcribed spacer 2, and large subunit ribosomal RNA
Rfam family: 5.8S ribosomal RNA (bases 1-120)
Source: RNAcentral
GAUGAAGAACGUAGCGAAAUGCGAUAAGUAAUGUGAAUUGCAGAAUUCAGUGAAUCAUCGAAUCUUUGAACGCACAUUGCGCCCGCCAGUAUUCUGGCGGGCAUGCCUGUUCGAGCGUCAUUUCAACCAUCAAGCCCCGGGCUUGUGUUGGGGACCUGCGGCUGCCGCAGGCCCUGAAAUGCAGUGGCGGGCUCGCUGUCACUCCGAGCGUAGUAAUACAUCUCGCUCUGGACGUGCUGCGGGUUCCGGCCGUUAAAAGCCUUAUUUACCCAAGGUUGACCUCGGAUCAGGUAGGAAGACCCGCUGAACUUAAGCAUAUCAAUAAGCGGAGGA